This 106-nucleotide transfer RNA is filed under the name Plectosphaerella cucumerina. It matches the Rfam family "tRNA". From Rfam's summary of the family: Transfer RNA (tRNA) molecules are approximately 80 nucleotides in length. Their secondary structure includes four short double-helical elements and three loops (D, anti-codon, and T loops). The record is from Rfam by way of RNAcentral. Lineage: Eukaryota; Fungi; Ascomycota; Sordariomycetes; Glomerellales; Plectosphaerellaceae.
GGCGAGGUGGCCGAGUGGUUAAGGCGACAGACUAGAAUCAUCUGUCCCCAGAUCUUUCAGCCAUCUGUUGGGUUCGCCCGCGUAGGUUCAAAUCCUGCCCUCGUCG